AAGUCGUAACAAGGUUUCCGUAGGUGAACCUGCGGAAGGAUCAUUACCGAGUUCAUGCCCUCACGGGUAGAUCUCCCACCCUUUGUAUACCAUACCUUUGUUGCUUUGGCGGGCCGCCUAGCUACUGGCUUCGGCUGGUAAGUGCCCGCCAGAGGACCCAAAACCCUGAUUAUUAGUGUCGUCUGAGUAAAAUUUUAAUAUUUAAAACUUUCAACAACGGAUCUCUUGGCUCUG
This 234-nucleotide unclassified non-coding RNA is filed under the name Tetracladium marchalianum. RNAcentral's name for it is "partial internal transcribed spacer region". The stretch from base 1 to 46 matches the Rfam family "Eukaryotic small subunit ribosomal RNA", at positions 1786 to 1831 of the family's 1831-position model. The record is from RNAcentral. RNAcentral also lists the same sequence under 2 other names. Lineage: Eukaryota; Fungi; Ascomycota; Leotiomycetes; Helotiales.